Molecule: ribosomal RNA, 250 nt
Filed under: uncultured prokaryote
Description: partial 16S ribosomal RNA
Rfam family: Bacterial small subunit ribosomal RNA
Source: RNAcentral
UACGUAAGUUGCGAGCGUUGUUCGGAAUUAUUGGGCGUAAAGGGCAUGUAGGCGAAAGCGCAAGUCUGGUGUGAAAGGCAGGGGCCCAACCCCUGGACAGCGCCGGAAACUGCUGUACUAGAGUCGCUGAGGGGCAGGCAGAAUUCCAGGUGUAGGGGUGAAAUCUGUAGAUAUCUGGAAGAAUACCGAUGGCGAAGGCAGCCUGCCAGCAGAUGACUGACGCUGAGGUGCGAAGGUGCGGGGAGCAAAC